This 2924-nucleotide long non-coding RNA is filed under the name Corvus moneduloides (New Caledonian crow). RNAcentral's name for it is "lncRNA (ENSCMUG00000017171.1)". Lineage: Eukaryota; Metazoa; Chordata; Aves; Passeriformes; Corvidae. The record is from RNAcentral.
GGAACAAUCCGGGAUCGGGAACAGUCCGGGAUCGGGAACAAUCUGGGAUCAGGAACAAUCCGGGAUAGGGAAGAGUCCAGGAUUGGGACCAGUCUGGGAUUGGGAACAGUCGGGAUCAGGAACAGUCUGGGAUCAGAGAUAAUCCCGGGAUCAGGGACAGUCCCGGGAUCGGGAACAGUCCCGGGAUCGGGGAUAAUCCAGGAUAGGGAAGAGUCCAGGAUUGGGACCAGUCUGGGAUCGGGAACAGUCGGGAUCAGGAACAGUCUGGGAUCGGGAACAGUCCGAGAUUGGGAACAGUCCAGGAUCAGAGAUAAUCCCGGGAUCAGGGACAGUCCCGGGAUCGGGAACAGUCUGGGAUCGGGGAUAAUCCGGGAUCAGGGACAAUCCCAGGAUCGAGGACAUUCCAGAGCUGGGGACAAUCCCGGAAUUCAGGACAAUCCCGGAUCAGGGACAAUCCAGGGAUUGACAAUUCCAGCUUUUCCUGCCAACUGGGAUCAAGGAAUUCCAGUUUUUCCUGCCCAUUUUCCCACUGGAAUCGAGAAUCCCACCUUUUCCCGCCCAUUUUCCCACUGGAAUUCAGCAAUUCCAGCUUUUCCUGCCCAUUUUCCCACUGGGAUUGACAAUUCCAAUUUUCCCUCCCUGUUAUCCCGCUGGAACUGAGGAAUUCCAGCUUUUCCUGCCCCAUUUUCCCUCUGGAAUUCAGCAAUUCCAGCUUUCCCUGCCCAUUUUCCCACCGGGAUUGAGAAUCCCGGGAUCAGGGACGUGCUGGGAACAAUCCUGGAAUUCGGGCCGAUCCUGGAAUUCAGGCCGAUCCUGGAAUUCAGGACAUUCCCGGUCCCGGGGCCAUUCCCGGGGCUCCGGAAUUCCCCUUCCCACCCCGCCCCAUCCAUUCCUUCCUUCCCGAUUUCGGUUGGAAUUUCCACCCCCACCCUCCCUCCUCCUCCUCCUCCUCCUCCUCCUCCCCCCGCAGGGAUUUUGUGGGAAUUGAGGUUGGAAAAAUCCAGCACGGGAUAAAAAAAAAGGGGGAAUUUUACCUGCGAAGUUCUGGGAUCCACGGGGAGAGCUGGAAUUGCUGAAUUCCAGUGGGCAGGAAAAGCUGGAAUUGCUGAAUUCCAGAGGGAAAAUGGGCAGGGAAAGCUGGAAUUGCUGAAUUCCAGUGGGCAGGAAAAGCUGGAAUUCCUCAGUUCCAGCGGGAUAACAGGGAGGGAAAAUUGGAAUUCUUAAUUCCAGAGGGAAAAUGGGGCAGAAAAAGCUGGAAUUCUCAAUCCCAGAGGGCAUGAAAAGCUGGAAUGGCUGAAUUCCAGUGGGAAAAUGGGCAGGAAAAACUGGAAUUCCUUGAUUCCAGUGGGCAGGAAAAGCUGGAAUUCUCAAUCCCAGCGAGAUAAAGGACAGGGAAAACCUGGAAUUCUCAAUCCCAGCAGGAUAAAGGAGCAGGGAAAACCUGGAAUUCUCAAUCCCAGUGGGAUAAAGGACAGGAAAAGCUGGAAUUCUCAAUCCCAGUGGGAUAAAGGACAGGAAAAACCUGGAAUUCUCAAUCCCAGUGGGAUAAAGGAGCAGGGAAAACUGGAAUUCCUUGAUCCCAGUGGGCAGGAAAACCUGGAAUUCUCAAUCCCAGUGGGAUAAAGGACAGAAAAAAGCUGGAAUUCUCAAUCCCAGCGAGAUAAAGGAGCAGGGAAAUUUGGAAUUCUCAAUCCCAGUGGGAUAAAGGACAGGGAAACCUGGAAUUCCUCAGUUCCAGUGGGAUAAAGGACAGGGAAAACUGGAAUUCCUUGAUCCCAGUGGGAUAAAGGACAGGGAAAAGCAGGAAUUCUCAAUCCCAGUGGGCAGGAAGAGCUGGAAUUCCUCAAUCCCAGCAGGAUAAAGGACAGGGAAACCUGGAAUUCUCAACCCCAGUGGGCAGGAAAAGCUGGAAUUCCUCAGUUCCAGCGAGAUAAAGCACAGGAAAAACCUGGAAUUCUCAAUCCCAGUGGGAUAAAGGAGCAGGGAAAACCUGGAAUUCUCAAUCCCAGCGGGAUAAAGGACAGGGAAAAGCUGGAAUUCUCAAUCCCAGUGGGCAGGAAAAGCUGGAAUUCUCAACCCCAGUGGGAUAAAGGACAGGGAAAUUUGGAAUUCUCAAUCCCAGCAGGAUAAAUGACAGGAAAAGCUGGAAUUCUCAAUCCCAGUUGGGCAGGAAAAGCUGGAAUUCCUCAGUUCCAGUGGGAUAAAGGACAGGAAAAGCUGGAAUUCUCAAUCCCAGAGGGAUAAAGGACAGGGAAAAAGCUGGAAUUCUCAAUCCCAGUGGGAUAAAGGACAGGGAAAACGUGGAAUUCUCAAUCCCAGUGGGCAGGAAAAGCUGGAAUUCCUCAAUCCCAGCAGGAUAAAGGACAGGGAAAACCUGGAAUUCUCAAUCCCAGCGGGAUAAGGAGCAGGGAGAGGCGGAUCCUUCAUCCCUGGAUUUAAAAAAAAGCCCCUGGAAUAAAAAAACCCCCCCAGGAUCUCUCCAGGAACCACAUCCCCGCUUAUUUUCCUUCAUUUCUUGCCCAAUCCAAAGCCAGGCUUGGAAUAAAACCCUUCAAAUUCCCAAAAUUCCCAAAGGCAACACCCGAGCUCGUUGCCAGGUUUUUUUUUCUUUUUUUCCCCUCUGGAUUCAAGGGAAAUUCCAAAAAAAGCAGCGCCAGGGGCAGACGGAGAAAAUUCCCAGGCCACAUCCCUGGGAUAAGCAGGACACGGAGCCGGGGCUGAUUCCAGAGGGAGGGGAUCCCUCGGGAAUGGGAGCCGGAACGAGGGCAGCGCUCUCCUCCUUCCCCGAAUCCAGGACUUUUUUUUUCCCCACGUGGGAAAAACUCCGGGAGAGACCGAGAGGAAUCAAAUCCAACCCCAAAUCCUGCGGGAACAGCCCGGUUUAACCCCUCCCCCCCCAUCCCAAUCCCACAUCCCAAUCCCAC